Molecule: ribosomal RNA, 540 nt
Filed under: Triticum aestivum (bread wheat)
Lineage: Eukaryota; Viridiplantae; Streptophyta; Magnoliopsida; Poales; Poaceae
Description: partial small subunit ribosomal RNA
Source: RNAcentral
AUGCUCACCGCCAGUGCGGAACAAAUACGGGCGGCGGCAGCGUUCGCCGAAGGUCUUGGUGUUCCCCAUGGCUCUGUGAUGUUCAGGAAAAUUCUGCUGUAUGUCGAAUUGCUCGGCGAGGACAAGAUUGCUGCCAAAGUGAAGUACUUGAAGAGCACCUUGGGCUGGUCGGAUGCUGAGGUGGGCAUUGCUUUGUCCAAGGAUCCGUCUGUGCUGAGGAGGUCAAAGAAUAUGCUACAGCGCAGAUCUGAGUUCCUUCUCUCUGAGUUGGGGUUGGAGCCGGCCUACAUUGCUCAUCGACCGGCAAUGCUCACUUACAGCCUGGAGGGCCGGCUCAGACCCCGCUACUAUGUUAUGAAAUUUCUCAAGGAAAAUGGGUUGCUAGUGCACACACUGAUUUUGACUGAGAAGGUAUUCAUGGAGAAGUACAUAUGCCCUCACAUGGAAGCUGCACCAGACCUUGCUGAAGACUACGCUGCCGCCUGCCGAGGGGAAUCGCCGACAAGAUUCAGAUUUGCAUCACCCAAGAACGAGCUAUGA